ACAUGCACCCCAUCUCUGGGUGCGCCUUGGAGCCGGGACUUCCCUUUGCCGUCCUCCGGCUGGACCGUGGGGGAAGUGCGGGGCUCACCAGAUGACCGCACGGGGCCUGGGAGGGACCCUGCUGAGUCAGCCGUUUCUCAUCUGCUGCAGAGAAUCCUGCUGUCAGGGCGGAGAGAAUGGCGGCGCCUCCCGUAUUCGGCCGCCCCGUCGGGGACACAUGCUCCUCGUCGGCAAGGCUCCUCAUUAGCUGUCCAGGUGGACACCACAAGCCCGGGGCUCUCGUCCCCUCCCUUACUGAAGCACCAUGCUCGAAAGGGGUCUCCAUUUGUUUCUGUAAAUCCCAACCAAAGGGUGAAAAUGAAAGCCCUCCCUCAGAGUCCCUCUGGUGCAGGCUGUGGCGCUCGGGCACCUGGGGCUGGCACUAAGCCCUCUGGGGACCUGCAAGCUCUGGCCAACAGCACGGGGUUCGGCCGUGCCGGGCUGCGGGAUGCUGUUUCCAGCCGGCCCCCGGUGGCCAUGGUGGGAGGGCUGCAUCGCAGGGACUUGUCUCUUUGUCUUUUAAAAAAUCCGAUCGAGUGAAGGAAGAACCUGCCUCCUGUCCUUCCCUUGCUCUGUCUUUGUUUCUUGUAGUUCCAUUUGCAGACAGUAGAUCCAAAAAUAACCUGGCGGCCAGAAUUUGAAAUACCCCUCGUGCCCCGGAGAAUCUGCACCCACGGGUUUCUGUGAAAUUGCCCUUGACAGCUUUGCUCAGUACCUUUGUUCUGGAUGUGCUUCUCACGCUGUUGGAUUGAGUGUUCCUUUUUCUUUUGCACUAGCAUUCCACGCCUACGGGAAGGCGGGCAAGAUGCUGGUAGAGACCAGCAUGAUCGGGCUGAUGCUGGGCACCUGCAUUGCCUUCUAUGUCGUGAUCGGCGACUUGGGGUCCAACUUCUUCGCCCGGCUGUUCGGGUUUCAGGUGGGCGGCACCUUCCGCAUGUUCCUGCUGUUCGCCGUGUCGCUGUGCAUCGUGCUCCCGCUCAGCCUGCAGCGGAACAUGAUGGCCUCCAUCCAGUCCUUCAGCGCCAUGGCCCUCCUCUUCUACACUGUGUUCAUGUUCGUGAUCGUGCUCUCCUCUCUCAAGCAUGGCCUCUUCAGUGGGCAGUGGCUGCGGCGGGUCAGCUAUGUCCGCUGGGAGGGCGUCUUCCGCUGCAUCCCGAUCUUCGGCAUGUCCUUCGCCUGCCAGUCCCAGGUGCUGCCUACCUACGACAGCCUGGAUGAGCCAUCAGUGAAAACCAUGAGCUCCAUAUUUGCCUCCUCCCUCAAUGUGGUCACCACCUUCUACGUCAUGGUGGGGUUUUUCGGCUACGUCAGCUUCACCGAGGCCACGGCCGGCAACGUGCUGAUGCACUUUCCCUCCAACCUGGUGACAGAGAUGCUCCGUGUGGGCUUCAUGAUGUCGGUGGCUGUGGGCUUCCCCAUGAUGAUCCUGCCAUGCAGGCAGGCCCUGAGCACGCUGCUGUGUGAGCAGCAGCAAAAAGAUGGCACCUUUGCGGCAGGGGGCUACAUGCCUCCUCUCCGGUUUAAAGCACUUACCCUCUCUGUGGUGUUUGGAACCAUGGUUGGUGGCAUCCUUAUCCCCAACGUGGAGACCAUCCUGGGCCUCACAGGAGCGACCAUGGGAAGCCUCAUCUGCUUCAUCUGCCCGGCGCUGAUCUACAAGAAAAUCCACAAGAACGCACUUUCCUCCCAGGUGGUGCUGUGGGUCGGCCUGGGCAUCCUGGUGGUGAGCACUGUCACCACACUGUCUGUGAGCGAGGACGUCCCCGAGGACUUGGCAGAGGAAGCCCCUGGCGGCCGGCUUGGAGAGGCCGAGGGUUUGAUGAAGGUGGAGGCAGCACGGCUCUCAGCCCAGGAUCCGGUUGUGGCCGUGGCUGAGGAUGGCCGGGAGAAGCCGAAGCUGCCGAAGGAGAGAGAGGAGCUGGAGCAGGCCCAGAUCAAGGGGCCCAUGGAUGUGCCCGGACGGGAAGAUGGCAAGGAGGCACAGGAGGAGGCGCAGCUUGAUCGCCCUGGGCAAGGGAUUGCUGUGCCUGUGGGCGAGGCCCACCGCCACGAGCCUCCUGUUCCUCAUGACAAGGUGGUGGUAGAUGAAGGCCAAGACCAAGAGGUGCCAGAAGAGAACAAACCUCCAUCCAGACACGCGGGCGGAAAGGCUCCAGGGGUCCAGGGCCAGAUGGCGCCGCCUCUACCCGACUCAGAAAGAGAGAAACGGGAGCCGGAGCAGGGAGAGGUUGGGAAGAGGCCUGGACAGGCCCAGGCCUUGGAGGAAGCGGGUGAUCUUCCUGAAGAUCCCCAGAAAGUUCCAGAAGCAGAUGGUCAGCCAGCUGUCCAGCCUGCAAAGGAGGACCUGGAGCCAGGAGACAGGGGCCUGCAUCCUCGGCCCCAGGCAGUGCUGUCUGAGCAGCAGAAUGGCCUGGCAGUGGAUGAAGGGGAAAAGGCCGAGGGGGUACCGCCACCAGGCAACGCCGCCGGGGACACAGGGCAGCCCGCAGAGGACAGCGACCACGGUGGGAAGCCUCCCCUCCCAGAGGAGAAGCCGGCUCCGGGGGCUGGGCUGCCGCCCGAGCCUCGAGAGCAGAGGGACGUGGAGCGAGCGGGUGGAGACCAGGCGGCCAGCCAGCUGGAGGAAGCUGGCAGGGCGGAGAUGCUGGACCACGCCGUCCUGCUUCAGGUGAUCAAAGAACAGCAGGUGCAGCAAAAGCGCUUGCUGGACCAGCAGGAGAAGCUGCUGGCGGUGAUCGAGGAGCAGCACAAGGAGAUCCACCAGCAGAGGCAGGAGGACGAGGAGGACAAGCCCAGGCAGGUGGAGGUGCAUCCAGAGCCCGGGGCAGCGGUGCCCAGAGGCCAGGAGGCCCCCGAAGGC
This 2899-nucleotide small RNA is filed under the name Pongo abelii (Sumatran orangutan). RNAcentral's name for it is "retained intron". The record is from RNAcentral. Lineage: Eukaryota; Metazoa; Chordata; Mammalia; Primates; Hominidae.